AUUCCCGAAAAUCUUCAAACUCGUGGAACCAAAGUACCAAAUUUAAAGAGUGAGACAAAAAAAAUAUAUUUAAUUUUUUGAUUCACGUAAAAAUAUAGAAAAGAUUGAAAAGACUUUCUCUCUCUUUUCUCUCUUAAUCUUUGAGAGAGAGAAAGUCUUGUCCGAUGUUCCGAUUUGGUUUCGGCAACGAUCAGUUUUUUAGUGGUGUUGGUCGGCUUUCGUCUAGUGUCGUUGACUCUCUUAGCAAUGUCAAAUAGCUCUAUUUCCAUCAAUUCGCUCUCGAUUCGGAUGGCUUAGGUAUCGGCUUUUAUCUGGAUUUGUUUUUUCAUUUUUCGUUCCUUUGUUUCUAUUUAGUUUCAGUUUUCUUGUGCUUGAUUGCUUUGAUUAGAUCCUUAGAUCUGGGUGGGUAGUUCUUUGCUCCUCCUUUUCUUAA
This 433-nucleotide small RNA is filed under the name Arabidopsis thaliana (thale cress). RNAcentral describes it as "ATSL170190". The record is from RNAcentral. Lineage: Eukaryota; Viridiplantae; Streptophyta; Magnoliopsida; Brassicales; Brassicaceae.